This 417-nucleotide ribosomal RNA is filed under the name uncultured bacterium. Its description in RNAcentral is "bacterial SSU rRNA". It matches the Rfam family "Bacterial small subunit ribosomal RNA", at positions 358 to 772 of the family's 1533-position model. The record is from RNAcentral.
GGAAUAUUGGUCAAUGGGCGCAAGCCUGAACCAGCCAUGCCGCGUGCAGGAUGACGGUCCUAUGGAUUGUAAACUGCUUUUGUACGGGAAGAAACACUCCCUCGUGAGGGAGCUUGACGGUACCGUAAGAAUAAGGAUCGGCUAACUCCGUUCCAGCAGCCGCGGUAAUACGGAGGAUCCAAGCGUUAUCCGGAAUCAUUGGGUUUAAAGGGUCCGUAGGCGGUCAGGUAAGUCAGUGGUGAAAGCCCAUCGCUCAACGGUGGAACGGCCAUUGAUACUGUCUGACUUGAAUUAUUAGGAAGUAACUAGAAUAUGUAGUGUAGCGGUGAAAUGCUUAGAGAUUACAUGGAAUACCAAUUGCGAAGGCAGGUUACUACUAAUGGAUUGACGCUGAUGGACGAAAGCGUGGGUAGCGAA